Molecule: ribosomal RNA, 661 nt
Filed under: uncultured cyanobacterium
Lineage: Bacteria; Bacillati; Cyanobacteriota
Description: bacterial SSU rRNA
Rfam family: Bacterial small subunit ribosomal RNA
Source: RNAcentral
CGGACGGGUGAGUAACGCGUGAGAAUCUGCCUUCAGGAUGGGGACAACAGUUAGAAAUGACUGCUAAUACCCAAUGUGCCGCAAGGUGAAAGUUUUUCGCCUGAAGAGGAGCUCGCGUCCGAUUAGCUAGUUGGGGUGGUAAAAGCGCACCAAGGCGACGAUCGGUAGCUGGUCUGAGAGGAUGAGCAGCCACACUGGGACUGAGACACGGCCCAGACUCCUACGGGAGGCAGCAGUGGGGAAUUUUCCGCAAUGGGCGCAAGCCUGACGGAGCAAUACCGCGUGAGGGAGGAAGGCUUUUGGGUUGUAAACCUCUUUUCUCAAGGAAGAAGCACUGACGGUACUUGAGGAAUCAGCAUCGGCUAACUCCGUGCCAGCAGCCGCGGUAAUACGGAGGAUGCAAGCGUUAUCCGGAAUUAUUGGGCGUAAAGCGUCCGCAGGUGGUACAUCAAGUCUGCUGUCAAAGACUAGGGCUUAACCCUGGAGCGGCAGUGGAAACUGAUGAACUAGAGUACGGUAGGGGUAGAGGGAAUUCCCAGUGUAGCGGUGAAAUGCGUAGAGAUUGGGAAGAACACCAGUGGCGAAGGCGCUCUACUGGACCUGUACUGACACUCAGGGACGAAAGCUAGGGGAGCGAAAGGGAUUAGAUACCCCUGUAGUC